GUGCUCACUUCAGCAGCACAUGCACUAAAAUUGGAAUGAUAUGAAGAAAUUAGCAUGGCCCCUGUGCAAGGAUGGCACGCAAAUUUGUGAAGCAUUCCAUAUUCUU
Lemur catta (Ring-tailed lemur) is the source of this 106-nucleotide small nuclear RNA. The record is from RefSeq and is a predicted model, not a curated record. NCBI's taxonomy places the organism in Eukaryota, Metazoa, Chordata, Mammalia, Primates, Lemuridae.